AGAGUUUGAUCCUGGCUCAGGACGAACGCUGGCGGCGUGCCUAACACAUGCAAGUCGAACGGACUGAUUCGCUUCGGUGAUGAAAGUUAGUGGCGGACGGGUGAGUAACGCGUGAGUAACCUGCCUUUCAGAGGGGGAUAACGUUUGGAAACGAACGCUAAUACCGCAUAACGUACAGUUGUCGCAUGGCAGCAGUACCAAAGGAGCAAUCCGCUGAAAGAUGGACUCGCGUCUGAUUAGAUAGUUGGCGGGGUAACGGCCCACCAAGUCGACGAUCAGUAGCCGGACUGAGAGGUUGAACGGCCACAUUGGGACUGAGACACGGCCCAGACUCCUACGGGAGGCAGCAGUGAGGGAUAUUGCACAAUGGGCGCAAGCCUGAUGCAGCAACGCCGCGUGAAGGAUGACGGUUUUCGGAUUGUAAACUUCUGUUCUUAGUGAUGAUAAUGACAUUAGCUAAGGAGAAAGCCACGGCUAACUACGUGCCAGCAGCCGCGGUAAUACGUAGGUGGCAAGCGUUGUCCGGAUUUACUGGGUGUAAAGGGAGCGCAGGCGGGAAAGCAAGUCAGUGGUGAAAUGCAUGGGCUUAACCCAUGAACUGCCGUUGAAACUGUUUUUCUUGAGUGAAGUAGAGGCAAGCGGAAUUCCGAGUGUAGCGGUGAAAUGCGUAGAUAUUCGGAGGAACACCAGUGGCGAAGGCGGCUUGCUGGGCUUUAACUGACGCUGAGGCUCGAAAGUGUGGGGAUCAAACAGGAUUAGAUACCCUGGUAGUCCACACUGUAAACGAUGAUUACUAGGUGUGGGGGGUCUGACCCCUUCCGUGCCGCAGUUAACGCAAUAAGUAAUCCACCUGGGGAGUACGACCGCAAGGUUGAAACUCAAAGGAAUUGACGGGGGCCCGCACAAGCAGUGGAUUAUGUGGUUUAAUUCGAAGCAACGCGAAGAACCUUACCAGGUCUUGACAUCGAGUGACCGGCUUAGAGAUAAGCCUUUCCUUCGGGACACAAAGACAGGUGGUGCAUGGUUGUCGUCAGCUCGUGUCGUGAGAUGUUGGGUUAAGUCCCGCAACGAGCGCAACCCCUGCCAUUAGUUGCUACGCAAGAGCACUCUAAUGGGACCGCUACCGACAAGGUGGAGGAAGGUGGGGACGACGUCAAAUCAUCAUGCCCCUUAUGACCUGGGCUACACACGUAAUACAAUGGCCGUUAACAGAGGGAAGCAAUACCGCGAGGUGGAGCAAACCCCCAAAAACGGUCUCAGUUCGGAUUGCAGGCUGCAGCUCGCCUGUAUGAAGUUGGAAUUGCUAGUAAUCGCAGAUCAGCAUGCCGCGGUGAAUACGAUCCCGGGCCUUGCACUCACCGCCCGUCA
Molecule: ribosomal RNA, 1368 nt
Filed under: uncultured bacterium
Lineage: Bacteria
Description: bacterial SSU rRNA
Rfam family: Bacterial small subunit ribosomal RNA
Source: RNAcentral